This 557-nucleotide ribosomal RNA is filed under the name uncultured fungus. RNAcentral's name for it is "eukaryotic LSU rRNA". The stretch from base 197 to 350 matches the Rfam family "5.8S ribosomal RNA". The record is from RNAcentral. Lineage: Eukaryota; Fungi.
CUCCGUAGGUGAACCUGCGGAGGGAUCAUUACACAAAUAUGAAGGCGGGCUGGAACCUCUCGGGGUUACAGCCUUGCUGAAUUAUUCACCCUUGUCUUUUGCGUACUUCUUGUUUCCUUGGUGGGUUCGCCCACCACUAGGACAAACAUAAACCUUUUGUAAUUGCAAUCAGCGUCAGUAACAAAUUAAUAAUUACAACUUUCAACAACGGAUCUCUUGGUUCUGGCAUCGAUGAAGAACGCAGCGAAAUGCGAUAAGUAGUGUGAAUUGCAGAAUUCAGUGAAUCAUCGAAUCUUUGAACGCACAUUGCGCCCUUUGGUAUUCCAAAGGGCAUGCCUGUUCGAGCGUCAUUUGUACCCUCAAGCUUUGCUUGGUGUUGGGCGUCUUGUCUCUAGCUUUGCUGGAGACUCGCCUUAAAGUAAUUGGCAGCCGGCCUACUGGUUUCGGAGCGCAGCACAAGUCGCACUCUCUAUCAGCAAAGGUCUAGCAUCCAUUAAGCCUUUUUUUCAAUUUUUGACCUCGGAUCAGGUAGGGAUACCCGCUGAACUUAAGCAUAU